AAUAACUGAAAAUUGCAAGAAGAAGUUAUUAGGGAUACGAAGAUUAUGGGGAAUUUAUUUGAUAAACAGGGGGGAAUGUCAGAAAAAUUCUGUGUAAAUUAUCAAAUAAAACCUUGUAUUACAUUGUGUUCCUGACGAGAAGAAAAAAGGCUGGAGCUUUCCAAGAAGAAUGCUGGACUUCCAGGCGGACAGAUAGCAGAAUCUGCCCAACUUCCAGAGAAACUCUUUUAAGUAUUUUUACGAACCCUCUUUGAUCUAUUUUAUGGGACUCUCUGUGAUCUAUUUUAUGGGAUUUUCUUUGAUCUGUUCGGGAACCGAAGGCAAUGCUGGUCAUGACCCACUUCCAUGAGGAAGCAGCUGUGGGAAGGAGGGGGGUGAAAAUCAAAUAAAGAACCACGAGAACGAUCUUGGGGCAGAGCAUGGUGCAGGAUUUGUACAGGCAGUACAAUGGCCAUGCCUCUCCUCGGAUCCGAGUAUAAAUUUAAUUCUGUCUCUGUUUGAUUCUUUGCCUUUUUGUCCUGUUUAAUAGAUGUCAUCAAUGUUUGAACCUGACAGAUGGAGGUCUCGCAACUACGGACACUCUCCCUCCUGACUGAUCCACACUUCCUCCUCUUCCUCUUUAAUGUGGGGGGGCUGUGGAUCCUCCUGCUGCUGAAGGGGACGUUCUUCUUGACGAGCGUUCAUCUGUUGGACGUCCGCAAGACAACACAAACAAACUUCAGCUCAGAUGUGUCAAAUGUUUUUUAGACCAUCAAAUAUAAUAUUUUCCAAGUGGACUGACACCACUUUGUGGUGAUGUUCUUCUACACAUGGAAUAAUCAUCAGUUAUUGAUUAUUAUGAAUUGUGUUAUUGAUCCUGUUUUCUGCAUUUACAUUAAUUACUGAUUAAAAAGUAACAACUUAAAGAAAA
Molecule: long non-coding RNA, 910 nt
Organism: Nerophis ophidion (straightnose pipefish)
Lineage: Eukaryota; Metazoa; Chordata; Actinopteri; Syngnathiformes; Syngnathidae
Exons: 2
Source: RefSeq, a predicted model, not a curated record